This 301-nucleotide ribosomal RNA is filed under the name uncultured bacterium. RNAcentral describes it as "partial 16S ribosomal RNA". It matches the Rfam family "Bacterial small subunit ribosomal RNA", at positions 509 to 807 of the family's 1533-position model. The record is from RNAcentral.
CAGUAGCCGCGGGAAUACGUAGGGUGCGAACGUUAAUCGGAAUUACUGGGCGUAAAGCGUGCGCAGGCGGUUUUGUAAGACAGGCGUGAAAUCCCCGGGCUCAACCUGGGAAUGGCGCUUGUGACUGCAAAGCUAGAGUGCGGCAGAGGGGGAUGGAAUUCCGCGUGUAGCAGUGAAAUGCGUAGAUACGCGGAGGAACACCGAUGGCGAAGGCAAUCCCCUGGGCCUGCGCUGACGCUCAUGCACGAAAGCGUGGGGAGCAAACAGGAUUAGAUACCCCGGUAGUCCCUGUCUCUUAUAC